AGUGAACGCUGGCGGUAGGCCUAACACAUGCAAGUCGAGCGGAAGCACAGUAAGAGCUUGUUCUUACUGGUGGCGACGGGCGGGUGGGUGAGGAAUACAUCGCAAUCUACUUUUUCGUGGGUGAUAACGUGGGGACUCAUACGCUACUAGCGCAUACGACCUACGGGUGGGAUCAGGGGAUCUUCGGACCUUUGCUGAUUCAAUGAGCCGAUGUCGGAUUAGCUAGUUGGCGGGGUAAAGGCCCACCAAGGCGACGCUCCGUAGCUGGUCUGAGAGGAUGAUCAGCCACACUGGAACUGAGACACGGUCCAGACUCCUACGGGAGGCAGCAGUGGGGAAUAUUGGACAAUGGGCGCAAGCCUGAUCCAGCCAUGCCGCGUGGGUGAAGAAGGCCUUCGGGUUGUAAAGCCCUUUUGUUGGGAAAGAAAAGCAGCAGGUUAAUACCCCGCUGUUCUGACGGUACCCAAAGAAUAAGCACCGGCUAACUUCGUG
RNAcentral lists this ribosomal RNA (492 nucleotides) under uncultured bacterium. RNAcentral describes it as "partial 16S ribosomal RNA". It matches the Rfam family "Bacterial small subunit ribosomal RNA", at positions 29 to 507 of the family's 1533-position model. The record is from RNAcentral.